GAUGAACGCUGGCGGCGUGCCUAAUACAUGCAAGUCGAGCGAACGGACGAGAAGCUUGCUUCUCUGAUGUUAGCGGCGGACGGGUGAGUAACACGUGGAUAACCUACCUAUAAGACUGGGAUAACUUCGGGAAACCGGAGCUAAUACCGGAUGAUAUUUUGAACCGCAUGGUUCAAAAGUGAAAGACGGCCUUGCUGUCACUUAUAGAUGGAUCCGCGCUGCAUUAGCUAGUUGGUAAGGUAACGGCUUACCAAGGAAACGAUGCAUAGCCGACCUGAGAGGGUGAUCGGCCACACUGGAACUGAGACACGGUCCAGACUCCUACGGGAGGCAGCAGUAGGGAAUCUUCCGCAAUGGGCGAAAGCCUGACGGAGCAACGCCGCGUGAGUGAUGAAGGUCUUCGGAUCGUAAAACUCUGUUAUUAGGGAAGAACAUAUGUGUAAGUAACUGUGCACAUCUUGACGGUACCUAAUCAGAAAGCCACGGCUAACUACGUG
This 497-nucleotide ribosomal RNA is filed under the name uncultured bacterium. Its description in RNAcentral is "partial 16S ribosomal RNA". It matches the Rfam family "Bacterial small subunit ribosomal RNA", at positions 28 to 507 of the family's 1533-position model. The record is from RNAcentral.